Molecule: long non-coding RNA, 892 nt
Organism: Acanthopagrus latus (yellowfin seabream)
Lineage: Eukaryota; Metazoa; Chordata; Actinopteri; Spariformes; Sparidae
Exons: 3
Source: RefSeq, a predicted model, not a curated record
GUGUGUGUGUGUGUGUGUGUGUGUGUGUGUGUGUGUGUGUGUGUGUGUGAGAUAACCUGUCUGUCUGCUGGGGGGUAUAUUGUUUCCAGUGUGGAGGAGCUCCCGUAGAAAAAUAGUGAAUCCCAUCUGUCUGGGAAGGGCCCGAGGCGUUAGAGCAGAAAACACAAGAAAGGAUCCAGUCACAACAGUUAGCUGUUGCGCCUCUGGGGAGGAUUAACCAGCCGCGGGGCGCAUGCCACAUCUGUGGUAUCAGAUGUAACUAAUGUGUGUGGUAAUUGAGUGUGUCUGUGGGUUGUCCAGGGACACUGAUCGGCCCAGCCACCAAGUCGGCAGUUUAAAGGCCAGCUACUUCCUGCUCAUUUCAGCUCUCCUCUCUCCACCUUAGCCGGCGAACCUCUGGAGGUUUUCCGGGGGACCAACUUGGAGGGAACUGGGGAACACCUCGGAACCCCCCCAAGAGGAGCCGGAGAGCGCUGCUGGGGAAAAGGACUUCUGGAGCAUCUGGAGUGUCAUUGGGGCCUGACCCUAGAUAAGCGGACAAAAAAUUCAAUAAGGCUGAUCUGAUCCAAAUGUGCCAAUGAAAAAAAAGUAUAAAACAACAAAAAAAUCUGCAGCAGAUGCAGGACUGGAGAUGUGGCUAUGACCAGCGAGCAGAGCAGGAGCUGGGAAUAAAUUAGACUUAUUAUUUGAGGAAAGAGAAACCCCUACAGCGCCAUUCAAACUGCCCUUUUGAGGUGAGGAAUCUAGGACCGAUAUUCCUCCUCACUGUCUGCAUGAAAAGUGGCGGAAUGGGGGGACAGUUUCAUUUUGUCUUCUGAAGACACUACCAGCAACCACGUUGCUGUUCUAAGAAGACGGCAUCCCUGCAAUUGUGAUAAUGAGGAGUCAUCGU